This 497-nucleotide ribosomal RNA is filed under the name uncultured bacterium. RNAcentral describes it as "partial 16S ribosomal RNA". It matches the Rfam family "Bacterial small subunit ribosomal RNA", at positions 28 to 507 of the family's 1533-position model. The record is from RNAcentral.
GAUGAACGCUGGCGGCGUGCCUAAUACAUGCAAGUCGAGCGAACAGACGAGGAGCUUGCUCCUCUGACGUUAGCGGCGGACGGGUGAGUAACACGUGGAUAACCUACCUAUAAGACUGGGAUAACUUCGGGAAACCGGAGCUAAUACCGGAUAAUAUAUUGAACCGCAUGGUUCAAUAGUGAAAGACGGUUUUGCUGUCACUUAUAGAUGGAUCCGCGCCGCAUUAGCUAGUUGGUAAGGUAACGGCUUACCAAGGCAACGAUGCGUAGCCGACCUGAGAGGGUGAUCGGCCACAAUGGAACUGAGAAACGGUCAAGACUCCUACGGGAGGCAGCAGUAGGGAAUCUUCCGCAAUGGGCGAAAGCUUGACGGAGCAACGCCGCGUGAGUGAUGAAGGUCUUCGGAUCGUAAAACUCUGUUAUUAGGGAAGAACAAAUGUGUAAGUAACUAUGCACGUCUUGACGGUACCUAAUCAGAAAGCCACGGCUAACUACGUG